RNAcentral lists this ribosomal RNA (492 nucleotides) under uncultured bacterium. RNAcentral describes it as "partial 16S ribosomal RNA". It matches the Rfam family "Bacterial small subunit ribosomal RNA", at positions 29 to 507 of the family's 1533-position model. The record is from RNAcentral.
AGUGAACGCUGGCGGUAGGCCUAACACAUGCAAGUCGAACGGCAGCACAGUAAGAGCUUGCUCUUACGGGUGGCGAGUGGCGGACGGGUGAGGAAUACAUCGGAAUCUACUUUUUCGUGGGGGAUAACGUAGGGAAACUUACGCUAAUACCGCAUACGACCUACGGGUGAAAGCAGGGGAUCUUCGGACCUUGCGCGAUUGAAUGAGCCGAUGUCGGAUUAGCUAGUUGGCGGCGUAAAGGCCCACCAAGGCGACGAUCCGUAGCUGGUCUGAGAGGAUGAUCAGCCACACUGGAACUGAGACACGGUCCAGACUCCUACGGGAGGCAGCAGUGGGGAAUAUUAGACUAUGGGCGCAAGCCUGAUCCAGCCAUACCGCGUGGGUGAAGAAGGCCUUCGGGUUGUAAAGCCCUUUUGUUGGGAAAGAAAAGCAGCAGGUUAAUACCCCGCUGUUCUGACGGUACCCAAAGAAUAAGCACCGGCUAACUUCGUG